This 274-nucleotide ribosomal RNA is filed under the name uncultured bacterium. RNAcentral describes it as "partial 16S ribosomal RNA". It matches the Rfam family "Bacterial small subunit ribosomal RNA", at positions 523 to 796 of the family's 1533-position model. The record is from RNAcentral.
AUACGGAGGGCGCGAGCGUUAAUGGGAAUUACUGGGCGUAAAGUGCGCGUAGGCGGCUUGGCAAGUCUCUUUUGAAAGCUCCCGGCUUAACUGGGAGAGGUGAGGAGAAACUACCUGGCUUGAGGGCAGCAGAGGAAAGCGGAAUUCUCGGUGUAGCGGUGAAAUGCGUAGAUAUCGAGAGGAACACCAGUGGCGAAGGCGGCUUUCUGGGCUGUACCUGACGCUGAGGCGCGAGAGCGUGGGGAGCAAACAGGAUUAGAAACCCCAGUAGUCC